Molecule: ribosomal RNA, 274 nt
Filed under: uncultured bacterium
Lineage: Bacteria
Description: partial 16S ribosomal RNA
Rfam family: Bacterial small subunit ribosomal RNA
Source: RNAcentral
AUACGGAGGGUGCAAGCGUUACUCGGAAUCACUGGGCGUAAAGCGCGCGCAGGCGGCUAUUUAAGUUGGAUGUGAAAGCCUACGGCUCAACCGUAGAACUGCAUCCAAAACUAUUUAGCUUGAGUGUGGGAGAGGAAGAUGGAAUUAGUUGUGUAGGGGUAAAAUCCGUAGAGAUAACUAGGAAUACCAAAAGCGAAGGCAAUCUUCUGGAACACUACUGACGCUGAGGCGCGAAAGCGUGGGGAGCAAACGGGAUUAGAUACCCUAGUAGUCC